GUUGACCUCGGAUCAGGUAGGAAUACCCGCUGAACUUAAGCAUAUCAAUAAGCGGAGGAAAAGAAACCAACAGGGAUUGCCCCAGUAACGGCGAGUGAAGCGGCAACAGCUCAAAUUUGAAAUCUGGCCCCCAGGGCCCGAGUUGUAAUUUGCAGAGGAUGCUUUUGGCGCGGUGCCUUCCGAGUUCCCUGGAACGGGACGCCAUAGAGGGUGAGAGCCCCGUCUGGUCGGACACCAAGCCAGUGUAAAGCUCCUUCGACGAGUCGAGUAGUUUGGGAAUGCUGCUCUAAAUGGGAGGUAUAUGUCUUCUAAAGCUAAAUACCGGCCAGAGACCGAUACGCAGUUUUGUGUUGAU
Molecule: ribosomal RNA, 355 nt
Filed under: Tolypocladium sp. 20124256c
Lineage: Eukaryota; Fungi; Ascomycota; Sordariomycetes; Hypocreales; Ophiocordycipitaceae
Description: eukaryotic LSU rRNA
Rfam family: Eukaryotic large subunit ribosomal RNA
Source: RNAcentral